This 207-nucleotide ribosomal RNA is filed under the name uncultured bacterium. Its description in RNAcentral is "partial 16S ribosomal RNA". It matches the Rfam family "Bacterial small subunit ribosomal RNA", at positions 568 to 774 of the family's 1533-position model. The record is from RNAcentral.
CAUGUAGGCGGUUUUCUAAGUCGGACGUGAAAGCUCCUGGCUCAACUAGGAGAGGCCGUUCGAAACUAGGAAACUUGAGGGUGGUAGAGGAGAGUGGAAUUCCCGGUGUAGUGGUGAAAUGCGUAGAUAUCGGGAGGAACACCAGUGGCGAAGGCGGCUCUCUGGGCCACUCCUGACGCUCAGAUGCGAAAGCUAGGGGAGAGAACG